UUUUGUAGUGUGUGAAGAAAUAUUAAUAUUUUUCCAGCUAAUAUUUUAAUAGUUGUCAUAUGAAAAAUUGGGUUCUUGCAUUGUGGCAUUGUAGUUGGUGUCACCAUAUGCUACAAGUUCUUUGGUCUGCUAUGAAAUUGUCUGCUCUCGAACAGCCAGAUUUUUCUGUGUAUACAGAUAUUUGUUUUACUUAUAGCCCAAAAUAUUAAAGUUCAGACUCGUAGAGGGUUGCAAUUUUCUUUCCUGUGUGAAUUACAAGCAGAUCUUGCAGAAUUCAGCUGGAUCAUUUGCCCUUUGAAUAACUAAUAAAUAUUCUUAACU
Long non-coding RNA from Rhipicephalus sanguineus (brown dog tick), 321 nucleotides. RefSeq lists it as uncharacterized. Lineage: Eukaryota; Metazoa; Arthropoda; Arachnida; Ixodida; Ixodidae. The transcript has 2 exons. The record is from RefSeq and is a predicted model, not a curated record.